GGGCCCGCACAAGCGGUGGAGCAUGUGGUUUAAUUCGAUGCAACGCGAAGAACCUUACCUACUCUUGACAUCCAGAGAACUUUUCAGAGAUGAAUUGGUGCCUUCGGGAACUCUGAGACAGGUGCUGCAUGGCUGUCGUCAGCUCGUGUUGUGAAAUGUUGGGUUAAGUCCCGCAACGAGCGCAACCCUUAUCCUUGUUUGCCAGCACGUAAUGGUGGGAACUCCAGGGAGACUGCCGGUGAUAAACCGGAGGAAGGUGGGGACGACGUCAAGUCAUCAUGGCCCUUACGAGUAGGGCUACACACGUGCUACAAUGGCGCAUACAGAGGGCGGCCAACCAGCGAUGGUGAGCGAAUCCCAAAAAGUGCGUCGUAGUCCGGAUUGGAGUCUGCAACUCGACUCCAUGAAGUCGGAAUCGCUAGUAA
This 425-nucleotide ribosomal RNA is filed under the name uncultured bacterium. RNAcentral's name for it is "bacterial SSU rRNA". It matches the Rfam family "Bacterial small subunit ribosomal RNA", at positions 917 to 1341 of the family's 1533-position model. The record is from RNAcentral.